UACGUAGGGUGCAGGCGUUAAUCGGAAUUACUGGGCGUAAAGCGUGCGCAGGCGGUUUCUUAAGUCAGAUGUGAAAGCCCCGGGCUUAACCUGGGAACUGCGUUUGAAACUGGGAGACUAGAGUGUGGCAGAGGGGGGUGGAAUUCCACGUGUAGCAGUGAAAUGCGUAGAUAUGUGGAGGAACACCGAUGGCGAAGGCAGCCCCCUGGGCUGAGAUUGACGCUCAGGCACGAAAGCGUGGGGAGCAAACAGG
RNAcentral lists this ribosomal RNA (253 nucleotides) under uncultured bacterium. RNAcentral describes it as "partial 16S ribosomal RNA". It matches the Rfam family "Bacterial small subunit ribosomal RNA", at positions 524 to 776 of the family's 1533-position model. The record is from RNAcentral.